ACAGCCUCUCUGACAUUUUGUGGUACUUUGGCCGCUCGAUCAAAGACGUCAGACGCUUGUUUCAUGUACAGCCUCUCUCGACAUUUUUGUCCUUCGGCCGCUCUGCAACUUUCCCCCCUGUGGUAAGAGGUUCAGAGUUAUAAACCAGCACCUUAAAAGUAUUAAGGUUGCUAAAAAUAAAAAUCUCUUGUGUCCCCCCACCCGUGGUAAGGAACAGAGAAUAAAUAUAUGAACAAAAAGACACAAAAGAGUCUUUUAUGUUUUAAAAUACUAGCACCAUUUAGGUUGCUGAAAUACCAUGGAAGAAAUGGUAAGGCGUGCUGAAGCCAUGAAUAUCAGUAGUGAAUGUGUUUAAAAGAAAAAAAAAAAAAAGAUAUAAAAAGUGCAUUAAAUUAAAAAAUAAUACAAAAAAAAAAAAAAAAAAAACAAAAAAUUGUUCCACCUCCAUUGGUUGGUUUUUUAAGUAUCCAACUCAAGACGGGUACAGAAGGAGGGAAGACCGCACGGCAGCAAAGAAGUCUGCAAAAACAACUACAGCCGCAGCGACGAUACAGGCGGCAUCAGAAAAUCGUCCUACAGCCAACAACGGCGGCAGCGACGACAGCAGCAGCAGAAACAACAACAUCAACAUUAAAGACGACGGCGGCGCGGCAGAAGCGGAAGAAGCAGCAGCUUAAUCAACUUUAUUAAAAAUUCUUUUUUAUUAGAAAUAUAAUUAUUUUUUGUUUUUGUAAAGAAAAAAAAAAAAGAGUAUAAAAUAUCAUAAAAACGCAAGUUAGAUCAGGAGUUAGGUAACGUAAUAUUCCCCCGGCAGGACCUCACUUCGGAGGUAUUUAGAAAGCUGGAGUUAAAAUCAUGAUAGCUUUAGAUAAAACGAAUAGUUUCAAUACCGAUUGCUUAAUUUAAAAAUAAUUGUUCAAAAAUUAAGAAAAAUAAUACCAUCCACAAUUGCAUAUCCAUCAAAUUUCCAGACACGCUGGUUUUAUAUUUUCAUUGAUAGUUAUAGCAGUUUUGAUAAUAUAUUUUGUGAAAAAAUGUUUAAUUAGGCAAAGAUUAGAAGCCAUAACAUUUGCCGGCCCGUUGCAAGGAAAUUAAUAUCAAAUAAUUAAGUAAAAAUAUAUAUGUUAAAAAAUUAUACAAAUUUACAGUCCACUUAAAUCGUUGUUUGCACAAAUAUCAAAAAUAAAAUAUAUUGUUCACUAAAUGUCAAGCUUGCCGGGCCUUUGGCAGAAUGUUCAUAAGAACACGAUUAUUUUUAUUAUUAAGAAACACAAAAUAAAACGAAUGGUAAUUUAAGACAUAAGAAAAUCUAAUGUUGAAAAGGAAAUAUAAAUAAACAAGAAGAGCAAGAUUUAAGUUGAAAAAUGAAAUGAAAUAAAUAAUUACAGUCCACUAAAUCGUUGAAGCAAUUAUACAUAAGCAAUAAAUUAUGUAAAUCUUAUGUCAGUUUUGCCGGCCUUUGGCAGAAUGUUCAGAAAGAACACACAAAUAUGAAUAUCAGAAAGAUAAGAGCCUGUCUAUGUUUAAGCAAUAAAACAACACCAAAUUGUUGCGUCUGGGAUGCAGAUGUCCGGCACUCUAGCAAAUGUGCAUACCUAUCUCAGCUAGGUACCUAGAACGCUUGGUGGGUUAUAUGACCUCCUGCGAGUGGUCACCAUAUGUUAAAGAUAAAGACCAUAGAAGGUUUCCCGCGGUCGGAGAUAUACCGAUCCGUGGGUCUAGAAAUAAGUAAUUUCCAUUCUCAUGUUAGCUACCUAAGCUAGGAUUUUAAGAAAUAAAUUUAGUUUGAAAUAUCAACUCAACAACGUCAGACGCUCGUUUUAUUUACAGCCUCUCUCGACAGACAGUGACAAUUUAUACCCGAGACCAACCAGGAAGGUGGUACUCGAAGUGCCCAGUGAUCGUGAGGCAGCCAGUGGAGUGCGGAGAAGUUUUCUCGACGGCCAAGGAGGCAAAUUCUUUUGGAAGCGGACGGCGAGGACGUGGCGGAACCCAGCAGGCAAAGAGCGGUCUCAGUGCGGAUGGAUCCGAGAAAUGUCCGCUAAAAAUAUUAAAUGUGAACAAAGAAUCGGAGUUUCCGCAUUAGGUUCGGGGAAUGCUCAAAAACGGACGCGCAAACGGACGAAAAGCAAAACUGUGGCGUUUCCCGUGAAUGUACCAAAAACGUAUUGCUAACGGACACUAAACCGUACAGUGGGCGGCCAAAAAGCGGACUUACCGCAAUAGGUUUGCCUAAUUGUCGAAACCUGGUCCGAAAACAGAUACUGAAACGGGCUAACACUGGGACCCGUGCAAAUGCCGCAAAUGUCCCGCUAACGGACACUAAAACGCACUGCACGCGUUAAAAAUCUUGUCGUCAACGAAAUUUCUAGAACUCGAUGAACGGUUCUUCUCCUUCCAUCUUUUGUCGCUUGCCUGUUUUUUUGUUAUUUCGCUGCAAAUGAGCGGGAGGCAAAUAUUAUUGCAUCAUCUUUCAACUCUUUUGGUUUGAGGAAUGUAUACCGUCGCGACUCUUUUCCUUUUGACCGGCGAGUUGUGCGGACGUGAGUGUACAGUUUUUUACAAGACGCACGUGUUUUCAACGAUUUUUAUUUAUUUAUGCUGGCGAGACUUAAUUUCCGACGAAGUGGCGCGCCAAUGGUCCUGGUUUGGGACAGAGUUCAAAAUGUCCAUUCGAGAGAUGCUUAUUACGUCAUCCGUCAAAGCCGCUUUUAUAAACAAAUUUGCGUUGGAGGAUGCAAGCAGACACAAAAGCAGAAUGCACAGGACGGUUAGUAUUAGUAUUAUUAGUUUUAAGGAAAUGAACAAAUCUUAAGUAAAAUGUUUAU
Molecule: non-coding RNA, 2828 nt
Organism: Drosophila kikkawai
Lineage: Eukaryota; Metazoa; Arthropoda; Insecta; Diptera; Drosophilidae
Source: RefSeq, a predicted model, not a curated record